GAUUAAGCCAUGCAUGUCUAAGUAUAAACGACUCUAUACUGUGAAACUGCGAAUGGCUCAUUAUAUCAGUUAUAGUUUAUUUGAUAGUCCCUACUACUUGGAUAACCGUAGUAAUUCUAGAGCUAAUACAUGCAUCAACUCCCAACUGCCUCGGCGGACGGGAUGUAUUUAUUAGAUGGAAACCAAUACCGAGUUUUCUCGGUUUUUGUGGUGAAUCAUAGUAACUGUGCGAAUCGACUCCGGUCGAUGGUUCAUUCAAGUUUCUGCCCUAUCAGCUUCGGAUGGUAGGGUAUUGGCCUACCAUGGCCUUAACGGGUAACGGAGAAUUGGGGUUCGAUUCCGGAGAGGGAGCCUGAGAAACGGCUACCACAUCCAAGGAAGGCAGCAGGCGCGUAAAUUACCCAAUCCUGACAUAGGGAGGUAGUGACAAUAAAUAACAAUGCUAGGCUUUUAAAGUCCGGCAAUUGGAAUGAGAACAAUUUAAAUCCCUUAUCGAGGAACCAUUGGAGAGCAAGUCUGGUGCCAGCAGCCGCGGUAAUUCCAGCUCCAAUAGCGUAUAUUAAAGUUGUUGCAGUUAAAAAGCUCGUAGUUGGAUUUCUGGUGGAGGUGAUCGGUCGGCCUCGCAAGGGGUCUGCACCUGUAUCGUCCUUUGCCAUCCUUCANGAAGGCGCUUNUUGUAUUAACUUACNGGUUGCGAACUCCUGAUCUUUUACUGUGAAAAA
RNAcentral lists this ribosomal RNA (722 nucleotides) under uncultured eukaryote. Its description in RNAcentral is "SSU rRNA". It matches the Rfam family "Eukaryotic small subunit ribosomal RNA", at positions 42 to 764 of the family's 1831-position model. The record is from RNAcentral.